GGGCAAUACGCGGGAGGGACCGGGGUAGUGCUGAGGGGACGAGGGGUGGCCGGGAUGAUUGGGGGGAAAGAGCUCGGGUGCGGUUGGUUACGUCGGCUGUGAAAACCCAGGGCUUAACCCUGGGCUUGCAGUGGAUACGGGCAGACUAGAGGCAGGUAGGGGAGAAUGGAAGUCCCGGUGUAGCGGUGAAAUGCGCAGAUAUCGGGAGGAACACCGGUGGCGAAGGCGGUUCUCUGGGCCUGACCUGACGCUGAGGAGCGAAAGCGUGGGGAGCGAACAGGAUUAGAUACCCUAGUAGUC
Molecule: ribosomal RNA, 300 nt
Filed under: uncultured Methanomassiliicoccus sp.
Lineage: Archaea; Methanobacteriati; Thermoplasmatota; Thermoplasmata; Methanomassiliicoccales; Methanomassiliicoccaceae
Description: bacterial SSU rRNA
Rfam family: Bacterial small subunit ribosomal RNA (bases 55-300)
Source: RNAcentral